AGUGAACGCUGGCGGCGUGCCUAAUACAUGCAAGUCGAGCGAAUGGAUUAAGAGCUUGCUCUUAUGAAGUUAGCGGCGGACGGGUGAGUAACACGUGGGUAACCUGCCCAUAAGACUGGGAUAACUCCGGGAAACCGGGGCUAAUACCGGAUAACAUUUUGAACCGCAUGGUUCGAAAUUGAAAGGCGGCUUCGGCUGUCACUUAUGGAUGGACCCGCGUCGCAUUAGCUAGUUGGUGAGGUAACGGCUCACCAAGGCAACGAUGCGUAGCCGACCUGAGGGGGGGAUCGGCCACCCGGGGACUGAGACACGGCCCAGACUCCUACGGGAGGCAGCAGUAGGGAAUCUUCCGCAAUGGACGAAAGUCUGACGGAGCAACGCCGCGUGAGUGAUGAAGGCUUUCGGGUCGUAAAACUCUGUUGUUAGGGAAGAACAAGUGCUAGUUGAAUAAGCUGGCACCUUGACGGUACCUAACCAGAAAGCCACGGCUAACUACGUGCCAGCCGCCGCAGUAA
This 515-nucleotide ribosomal RNA is filed under the name uncultured bacterium. RNAcentral's name for it is "partial 16S ribosomal RNA". It matches the Rfam family "Bacterial small subunit ribosomal RNA", at positions 29 to 523 of the family's 1533-position model. The record is from RNAcentral.